Molecule: non-coding RNA, 1822 nt
Organism: Misgurnus anguillicaudatus (oriental weatherfish)
Lineage: Eukaryota; Metazoa; Chordata; Actinopteri; Cypriniformes; Cobitidae
Source: RefSeq, a predicted model, not a curated record
UGAAAGAGAGAUUGAGAGAGAUAAAGAAUUAUUAAUUGCUAUUUUAAAUGGUAUUAUAAUUGUUGCAUUCAAAUAAAACAUGAAUUUUAUUUUGUCAUGUUUCCCAUUUUGUGCUCAAGCUGCAUGGACAAAACCUGAUGAUGGGGUUCUUAAAGUGGUGGUCUGCGAAAUAAUUUACUAUAUAAAAAUGUGCCAUUUAUGGUUAUGAUCUUUAAGUUUUAUAUACUCUAAUAUUAGUACUGCAUCAAACGCAAGAAUCCUGAGACUGUGUGUGCGUUCCUUUUAAAGAUGCUCAACAUUAAGAGCUGCAUAUAGUAGUGUGGAAAAGAUGAGCGUCAAAAUAAGUUGAUACCUUUACAAAUACUGCAGAAAAUGAAAAAAAACAGCAGAGUAAAAUUAUAAUCUUGUAUUUACCACAGCAGAGUACACAGAAAAGGUUUAUGCCACUUGCUGAGAAGGGUAUUCCUGCACAACCGGAGGCUGCAGUUUCAGGACCGCAGUUCUAAGACCCCAAUUUUGUGUAAAAGUGGCGGCGCCCCCUACAGCACUGAAUAAACAAAAGCACUAAUUUAAAAGCGGGGUGCAUGAUCUCUAAAAGCCAAUGUUGACAUUUAAAAUCACCGAAACAAACACACGUACCCUACCUCAAUAGAAUCUGGACCUUCUUUUGAAAAACCCGCACAUACGCAACCCAGGCAAUGAUGUUGGUUUGUAGACACGCCCCUUAUGGCUGAUUGGCUACAAGUGUGUUUCCAAAGUGUUUUUAAAAAAUCAUGCACCCCACCUUUAAGAUGGAUGACAUGGGCAGCGGACUGUGUGACUGAGUACCGAUUUAAUUACAUUUUAUUUUAGAAUGUUGAUGCAUUUUAAAUAAUAAAAAAGAAAUACAUUUAUAAAGACAUACUACUGAGAUUAAUAUCUUGAUACAAUUUACAAACAUUACUACAAACUAAACCACCAGGGUCCUAGAACUGCGGACCUGAAACUGCAUAUAUUAUCCAGUUCGGUAGGUGGCGCUGUCACAAAAAAAGCGUGAGGCUGCAGUUUCAGGUCCCCAGUUCUGGGACCCUAUUCCUAGAACUGCGGUCCUAAAAGUGCAGCCAGCCUCUGAUAGCGCAGGAAUACACGAUUGCGCAUUUUGCGUACCGUCAAAUAACUUAUUCUUUAGUACCGUGUGAAACGCCCCCCACUCCAAACGCUAAAUUAAACAUCUCGCGAGAUUUGGCCGUAGCUGUAUCUCCUCUAGCUAGAACCGAAGAAACAGCGGUGUGUGUGGCUCCGGGGGAAAUUAAUCUUGUGCAACACUUUCAGCACCAAGUGACACCAUGGCCAGAGCCGAGGAGAUACUGAGAGGAGAGUAGAAGACAUUUCCACUAGUGUUUAUCUCACUGAUCUUCUUAAACACAUUGAGAGAGAAUUGUGUGUUUGCUGCUGACAAAGACUCCAUUUUCAUAAGCUGAGGAACAAACAACAGGAGAGAGAAGGAGAGGUGAUUGAAAGUAAAAAAAUUGUGCAGAAUGUUUUCCAUUCAAUUGCACAAAAUCAUAAAAAAGACAAAUAUUUGUCAGCGAAUCAUCAGGAUCAAUCCAUGAUUUGUUCUGAUUCUAUGAUAUAACCCUUAAGAAGUUACUUCAUCUUAUAAUAAAGAUUAAAAUCAAUGAAAAUGUUUAUUUUCUGGUGAUCUAUACUAAGAAAUUAAAUAAAAUCAUAAAUCUGUACCUUGGAUAUUCAGCAGAAAUGUUUAAUAUUCUCUGUAUGUCCUUGACUGACUGAUCUGACUGUUUUGGGUGCCUGACUAAUAAAUGUUUUUAAUGCAAAUCUA